GCCUGCGCGGAAGAUGUAACGGGGCUAAACCAUGCACCGAAGCUGCGGCAGCGACACUAUGUGUUGUUGGGUAGGGGAGCGUUCUGUAAGCCUGCGAAGGUGACCUGUGAGGGUUGCUGGAGGUAUCAGAAGUGCGAAUGCUGACAUAAGUAACGAUAAAGCGGGUGAAAAGCCCGCUCGCCGGAAGACCAAGGGUUCCUGUCCAACGUUAAUCGGGGCAGGGUGAGUCGACCCCUAAGGCGAGGCCGAAAGGCGUAGUCGAUGGGAAACAGGUUAAUAUUCCUGUACUUGGUGUUACUGCGAAGGGGGGACGGAGAAGGCUAUGUUAGCCGGGCGACGGUUGUCCCGGUUUAAGCAUGUAGGCUGGUUGUCCAGGCAAAUCCGGAUAAUCAAGGCUGAGGUGUGAUGACGAGGCACUACGGUGCUGAAGUAACAAAUGCCCUGCUUCCAGGAAAAGCCUCUAAGCAUCAGGUAACAUCAAAUCGUACCCCAAACCGACACAGGUGGUCAGGUAGAGAAUACCAAGGCGCUUGA
RNAcentral lists this ribosomal RNA (534 nucleotides) under Klebsiella pneumoniae. RNAcentral describes it as "partial 23S ribosomal RNA". It matches the Rfam family "Bacterial large subunit ribosomal RNA", at positions 1157 to 1693 of the family's 2925-position model. Lineage: Bacteria; Pseudomonadati; Pseudomonadota; Gammaproteobacteria; Enterobacterales; Enterobacteriaceae. The record is from RNAcentral.